AGGAUGAACGCUGGCGGCGUGCCUAAUACAUGCAAGUCGAGCGGUAAGGCCUCUUCGGAGGUACACGAGCGGCGGACGGCUGAGUAACACGUAGGAACGUACCCCAAAGUGAGGCAUAAGCACCAGAAAUGGUGUCUAAUACCGCAUGUGCUCUAAGGAGUAAAGCUUCGGCGCUUUGGGAACGGCCUGCGCAUGAUUAGCUUGUUGGUGAGGUAAUAGCUCACCAAGGCGACGAUCAUUAGCUGGUCUGAGAGGAUGACCAGCCAGACUGGGACUGAGAACGGCCCAGACUCCUACGGGAGGCAGCAGUAGGGAAUUUUCCACAAUGGGCGAAAGCCUGAUGGAGCAACGCCGCGUGCAGGAUGAAGGCCUUCGGGUUGUAACUGCUUUUAUAUGUGACGAAUAUGACGGUAGCAUAUGAAUAAGGAUCGGCUAACUCCGUGCCAGCAGCCGC
This 454-nucleotide ribosomal RNA is filed under the name uncultured bacterium. Its description in RNAcentral is "SSU rRNA". It matches the Rfam family "Bacterial small subunit ribosomal RNA", at positions 26 to 518 of the family's 1533-position model. The record is from RNAcentral.